AUAGAAAAAGCUCAAUGGCAGAGCAUCUGAAUUUUAAUCAGAAGGUUUGGGUUCAAUUCCCAUUUCU
This 67-nucleotide transfer RNA is filed under the name bacterium. RNAcentral's name for it is "tRNA-Lys". It matches the Rfam family "tRNA". From Rfam's summary of the family: Transfer RNA (tRNA) molecules are approximately 80 nucleotides in length. The record is from RNAcentral. RNAcentral also lists the same sequence under 2 other names.